AGCAGCCGCGGUAAUUCCAGCUCCAAUAGCGUAUAUUAAAGUUGUUGCAGUUAAAAAGCUCGUAGUUGAAUUUUAGGCCUGGCCGGGCGGUCCGUCUUUGGCGAGUACUGUCCUGUUGUCGGGUCCUCCUUCUGGUGAACCAGUAUGCCCUUCAUUGGGUGUGCCGGGGAGCCAGGACCAUUACCUUGAAAAAAUUAGAGUGUUUAAAGCGGGCUAUUGCUUGAAUAGAUUAGCAUGGAAUAAUAGAAUAGGACGUUGUGGUUCUAUUUUGUUGGUUUCUAGGACCACCGUAAUGAUUAAUAGGGAUAGUUGGGGGCAUUAGUAUUCAAUUGUCAGAGGUGAAAUUCUUGGAUUUAUUGAAGACUAACUAUUGCGAAAGCAUUUGCCAAGGAUGUUUUCAUUAAUCAAGAACGAAAGUUAGGGGAUCGAAGACGAUCAGAUACCGUCGUAGUCUUAACCAUAAACUAUGCCGACUAGGAAUCGGGCGACGUUAUUUUCACGACUCGCUCGGCGCCUUAUG
RNAcentral lists this ribosomal RNA (520 nucleotides) under uncultured Archaeospora. Its description in RNAcentral is "SSU rRNA". It matches the Rfam family "Eukaryotic small subunit ribosomal RNA", at positions 569 to 1092 of the family's 1831-position model. The record is from RNAcentral. Lineage: Eukaryota; Fungi; Glomeromycota; Glomeromycetes; Archaeosporales; Archaeosporaceae.